Molecule: transfer RNA, 79 nt
Filed under: Apis mellifera scutellata (African honeybee)
Lineage: Eukaryota; Metazoa; Arthropoda; Insecta; Hymenoptera; Apidae
Also listed under: 5 other names
Description: tRNA-Thr
Source: RNAcentral
AGCUAAAUAGUUUAAAAAUUUAAAAACAUUAAUUUUGUAAAUUAAAAUUAUAUUAAAAUUCAUUAUAAUAUUUUAGCUA